AUACUUACCUAGCAGGGGAGAUACCAUGAUUACGAAGGUGGUUUUCCCAGGACAAGUCUUACCCAUUGCACUCCAGAUGUGCUGACCUCUGCAAUUUCUCCAAAUGUGGGAAACUGGAUUGCACAAUUUGUAGUAGCGUGGGGCUACGUUUGCGGUCUUCCCCG
Molecule: small nuclear RNA, 164 nt
Organism: Nycticebus coucang (slow loris)
Lineage: Eukaryota; Metazoa; Chordata; Mammalia; Primates; Lorisidae
Product: U1 spliceosomal RNA
Exons: 1
Source: RefSeq, a predicted model, not a curated record